UACGGGGGGAGCAAGCGUUGUUCGGAUUUACUGGGCGUAAAGGGCGCGUAGGCGGUAGCACAAGUCAGUUGUGAAAUCUCCGGGCUUAACUCGGAAAGGUCAACUGAUACUGUGCGACUAGAGUGCAGAAGGGGCAACUGGAAUUCUCGGUGUAGCGGUGAAAUGCGUAGAUAUCGAGAGGAACACCUGCGGCGAAGGCGGGUUGCUGGGCUGAUACUGACGCUGAGGCGCGAAAGCCAGGGGAGCGAACGGG
RNAcentral lists this ribosomal RNA (253 nucleotides) under uncultured bacterium. RNAcentral describes it as "partial 16S ribosomal RNA". It matches the Rfam family "Bacterial small subunit ribosomal RNA", at positions 524 to 776 of the family's 1533-position model. The record is from RNAcentral.